Paramuricea clavata is the source of this 1004-nucleotide non-coding RNA. The record is from the annotation of a GenBank genome assembly. NCBI's taxonomy places the organism in Eukaryota, Metazoa, Cnidaria, Anthozoa, Malacalcyonacea, Plexauridae.
CCCACACUCAAUGACUGACAUGCAUCUAUAAAUGUCUUGAAAUUCUAAAUUAAAACAAGCGUUGGUAUUUUUAGCAUUUCUAUAAUGCGAAUAAAUGAUUCCGUCAACACUGUACGAUUCACUCUAUUCAUGGGCGGAGCGACCUAAAUUUAAUGUAUUCAGGAUUCUGUGAUGCCGCGCGACAACUGCGCGUGCUGCGCGCGUGAGUAACAGCGCAAGGCAUCCCGGGAAUAUGCAUAGUGAAAAGAGCAAAGCUGUCACGUGUCUGGCACGUACGCCAAUAACAACUUUGACGAAAGAAAAAUAACAACUUUGACGAAGGUUGAUGUUUUAUUUUAUUGUUGUAUAUAUAUAGCUUUAUAUACUAUUAUUAUAAUAGGAUUUAGCAUUUCAAAUCAAAAUUUAUUUACACGAAUAUAUUAUAACAAUAAUUAGUGCACUAUUAGUUUGAAUUAUAAAAUUAGAAUAAAGGAUAUCCCUUCCCCCCCUUCAUUUGUAAACAUUGGAUUUGCGGAACGUUUUGUUUUUAAGCAGCAAAAUGCGUAUAUCAAGCUAUGUGAUGGGACAAUACCCGCCAUUUUGGGGGUACUGUCUUCCAACUCACGUUUGAGAAUCUAUAGACAGUCUAAACAAUGUGCAUAGCGACUUUUGAAAGUUGUAACUAUAAAUCGCUACUUCGUGAAUAAAGCCCUGGUCAAACGCAGUCUGAGAGUUGAUGAGAGUUUGCAAGCAAGUUUGAUACGAGUUUGUAUAAGAGUUUUCUCAAUUCUCGUGGCCUGACCAAACGAAAACAAGGCUACGUUCAUGCUAGACGGGAUAGCUUUCCGUAUAGCGGCGCGAAAAAGCACCUGUCCGAUACGGAAUGUACAAGUUCAGAAGUUGAGUGAAACAACCAUGGGCGUACGGGACCAGUCUUAUUUGGGGGGGGACAGUGUAUUUUGCCCGAACAGGCAAACUUAACAUUUUACAGGUCACCAAAAAAUUUUGUCGAAAGAUACCAAAAA